This 488-nucleotide long non-coding RNA is filed under the name Arachis ipaensis. RNAcentral describes it as "long non-coding RNA (AIPA_LNC002106)". The record is from RNAcentral. Lineage: Eukaryota; Viridiplantae; Streptophyta; Magnoliopsida; Fabales; Fabaceae.
CAUUGUAUAAAACAUAUCUUGGCUCCUCGUACUUUUUCUUAUUGAUUAAUGACAUAAUAACUUCGAUUGUAUAUGAAUUUGGGAAAUAAUCACAUAAUUGAGAAUUCCAUACUCCUUCACACGGAAAUGGAUCCUCUCCAAUUUUUUAACACUUGACAAAAUAAAGUGUGAUUUGAUUCUAUAAGUAUGAUCAGAAAUAAAAGAGAGAGUUAUUUUAAAACAAAAAUAUUAAAUCCCAACCUGUAUUGUGGUAUAGGCCAAUUCUCUACCCAUUUUUAUUAAUGUUCAAGAGGGCCUUAUAUAUAUAUAUAAAGUCAUAAACAAAGGUUAUAUAUCAGGACAUUCAUACAAGCAUUCACAUUGGGAUAAUGGUUUUAUUAUACAACGUGAAGCAUAGGCCAUGGAACCAUAUCUCUCAUUGCAUUCAUUGAAACAACUCUCAGCACUGCCACACAACUGCAAAAUAUUUUAAUAAAACCAACCUAAUU